UAAAUAAGUUUCUUUGAUCUUUCCUUUGUCAUCACUGAUAGGAUCUAUGUUUUGUAUGUGGUGCCUAUCUUCUAUCCUGUAUCCCUUGGAGAGUAUCCUUAAGGAUGAGAAAAGAUGAGAGAUGGGGUAUUUUAGAUUUUUUUAAGAUGCUGUUGAUGACAACAUAUAUGUAAGUUAGAAAAUGCUUCAGGCGUAGAUCCGUCCUAUUGUUAGUUUGUUAUUAAGAAACUAACACCAAUCAGAGAAUACUCUGAAAAUUUUCUACAAACAUGCUUUGAACUUGACAAGAGGGACUAAGGGUGAUCAAUGGGCCUUCCAAAUGGCUACUAGUUUGUGGCGGCCAACUCAAUAUUGAAAGAUUUGUAGGGACUAAUAUGUAGAAAAUGCUAAAAGUAAUUACUGUUGGCAUUUGUCUUGCAGGAUGCGUAAGGGCUCUUGGCUUCUACCUUUGGCGCUGAUUCCCUUCGUGGGUCCGACAUUGUAUCUUCUACUUCGUCCGCCUCUUUCUGCUCUCCCCAUGAGAACUCCUUCCGAGUACAACAGAUAAGCUGUAGGCCAACCCAUUAUUUUGGUGCGUAACCAUCACUUUUGGUUUUGGUGUGUAGAGAAGACUCAGGCUGGUUGGUCAAGAAAUAAUCCUUUCAGAUAAAGGCCUAAGGCUCUGCCAUGCCACUGUAAAAAAACAGCAGCUUAUGAUUUACCUUCUGAAGUUUCAGCUAAAUGAUUCAACUUUAGCUUAUUAACCACAAAGUGUAGCACCACAUAUUAAUUUACAGAGCCGCUGAAGAGGAAGGAGCUUCAUUCAUCCAGUAAAAUUUGGAGAGUACUUCCUAUUUGCAUAGCAUGUUCUGAUAUUAAUACAGCUGUGUCUCUUGCAGUCCCCAGUAAAAUUGAAGAUCUAAGAUCACAUCGAGGAUCUUUAUUAGCAGCAGCAAAUGAGGAAAUGCACCUGCUACUUGAUGCGAAGACCUGCUUCCGUCGGUCAUGCCAUGUAGAAUCUGAAUUGCGCCCUGUAGGGGCGAGAGCUUUACUGUUUGGCAGAGGAUGGUGGUCGCCAACCUCCCGGCAGGUGAAGAGAGAGAGGUCUCCCAGUCUGCGUCACCCGAAGAGUAAUACUUCUCCAACUCGAAAUUCGUCAACAUUCACAUCAUCUACAGUAAAAUUCCAUGUGUUUAGUUACAGUUAAUCGCCGAAUUAUAAAGAGCAUUAGAUAGCCGUAUGGUCUCGGUAGGGUUUAUUCUAUGCCUUUGAAAACAACCCUGUUAAUUGACUAAAAUCACUGAAUUCCAAAGAAAAUUGAUAAGGGCCUAGGAGCACCCUGGAAAUUUUUUUUUCCUGUUUGAAAAAGGUGGCUAUUUUGUUUUUUAAACCAUCAGAAUUACACAAUAGUCAACCGAAAGAGUUUGAAAUACAAUAAAUUGUCUGGAACGUGCACAGACCUGCCACGUA
Long non-coding RNA from Ananas comosus (pineapple), 1449 nucleotides. RefSeq lists it as uncharacterized. The transcript has 2 exons. Lineage: Eukaryota; Viridiplantae; Streptophyta; Magnoliopsida; Poales; Bromeliaceae. The record is from RefSeq and is a predicted model, not a curated record.